AUUGAACGCUGGCGGCAGGCUUAACACAUGCAAGUCGAGCGAGCGGCGGACGGGUGAGUAAUGUCUGGGAAACUGCCUGAUGGAGGGGGAUCACUACUGGAAACGGUAUCUAAUACCGCAUUCCAUCAGAUGUGCCCAGAUGGGAUUAGCUAGUAGGUGGGGUAAUGGCUCACCUGGGCGACGAUCCCUAGCCGGUCUGAGAGGAUGACCACCAACACGGGAACUGAGACACGGUCCAGACUCCUACGGGAGGCACAAGGGGGGAAUAUUGCAAAAUGGGCGCAAUCCUGAGACAGCACUGCCGCGUGGUGGAAAAAGGCCUGCGGGUGGUAAAGCAUGUUCAGCGAGGCGGCGUUACUCGAAGAAGAAGCACCGGCUAACUACGUGCCAGCAGCCGCGGUAAUAC
Molecule: ribosomal RNA, 406 nt
Filed under: uncultured bacterium
Lineage: Bacteria
Description: partial 16S ribosomal RNA
Rfam family: Bacterial small subunit ribosomal RNA
Source: RNAcentral